Molecule: long non-coding RNA, 1158 nt
Organism: Prunus persica (peach)
Lineage: Eukaryota; Viridiplantae; Streptophyta; Magnoliopsida; Rosales; Rosaceae
Exons: 3
Source: RefSeq, a predicted model, not a curated record
GACAUCAAACUGAGCAUCCUACCCUUUCUAAUGACAACCAACAACAACUUUGGAACCCCCCUGCCUCUCCCUUUGUCAAAGUCAACGUGGAUGCAUCAUGGAAUCCAAACUCAAAGAGGGUUGGCAUUGGUAUCCUAAUUAGGAACACUCAUGGAGACUUUAUCAAGGGUUCAUCCAUCCCAUCUGUGGCGAACUCUGCUAUUGAGGCUGAGGCACAGGCUUGUCUUGAAGGCUGUAAGCUCGCUGCUGAGAUGGGUUAUCGUCAAGUAACUUUUGAAUCUGAUUGCAAGGAAGUAAUCUCUUCUUUGAAGGGCCCCUUAUCCAAUGGAAGGUGGGAAAUCUAUCCUAUGCUAAGUACUGUUCGAGAUGUUUUGAACUGCUUCCAGACCUACGUUUGAACGUGGAUUCCUAGAACCGCCAACCAAGCGGCAGAUCAUUUGGCAAUGCUUGCCAUUUCGAGGAUGAGCCCGGAAGUAUGGGUCAACCGACCCCCAUCCUCUCUAAUGCAUAUCCUGAACAAAGAUGGUUUACCAUGCCCCCCAAGGAGUGCUUAAGGUUUGCGGAUGUGUGGGCUUCUCGACGUAUCCGGUUGUCUUAUGACUACGUCUUUUUAUUAGUCCUCCUUCCAUGCAGCUGUGAUGUUUUAUUUCUUGUUGUUCGUUGUGCCUAGCUGCUUUAUAGGUUGUGUACUUCUCUUGGCUGUUUGCCUUUUUAUGAAAAUUCCAUAUUUCAGACCAAAAAAGAAAGGUUUUAGGGGGUGUUAAUUCGAAAACAACUUCGUUCUUUGUCGAAAAUUUCUUCUUCCUUCUCGACUCGACGCUCAGCUCUCUCAGCCAGCUAGCCACGUCAGGUCAGCCUCUAACUCUCUCUCUCUCUCUCUCUCUCUCUCUCUCUCUCUCUCUCAUUUCGAUACCCUCAGUCUUAGCCUGUCAAUCUCAAAUCUUGGCGUCAACCACUUUGAAUCUUGAAGCGUGUGUUCGCUGUCAUCUCAGUCUCAGAUAAACCUCCUCUUCCUCAACCGACCCGCUCCCUCUGCUGCUCCUGAGAAAGAGAAGGGGAAGGAAGAAUACAAGGAUAUCUGAUAUUCCAAAUGUGCAACCAACUAAUGGGUCUUGUGCACGCCUUCGCUUCCCUUUUUUUGACGAAUUUCUGAGCAUA